GGUUUGGCUAUUUAAAUUAAAAAUUUAAAUUGCGUGCAAAUGAUACACUUUUUACAGACUUAAACUAUCAAUACCUUGAGUUUUUCUUGAGAAAACAGCAGAAUAUGUAAUGAAGAGCUGGAAAUCUUAUCAGCUAUGAGUUCUGGAUACUUCAUUGCAAAAGGAAACUCUGUCCGUCUUCUGAACACUUUAUUGCAACUAAGGAACAUCUGUUUGUGCUAUAGAACAUCUUUCUUCACCAUAGAACAUUAUGUAAGAACAUGUCUUCACUAUAGACCAUUAUGUCGGAACAUGUCUUCUCAAUAGACCAUUAUGUAGAAAUGUCUUCUGUAUAGAACAUUAUGUAGGAACAUGUCUUCUCUAGAACAUUAUGUAGGAACGUGUCUUCACUAUAGAACAGUAUGUAGGAACAUGUCUUCACAAUAGAACAUUAUGUAGGAACAUGUCUUCUCUAGAACAGUAUGUAGGAACAUGUCUUCACUAUAGACCAUUAUGUAGGAACGUGUCUUCACUAUAGAACAGUUUGUAGGAACAUGUCUUCACUAUAGACCAUUAUGUAGGAACGUGUCUUCACUAUAGAACAGUUUGUAGGAACAUGUCUUCCCUAUAGAACAUUAUGUAGGAACCUAUCUUCACUAUAGAACAUACAUGUUAUUAUACAAGUUCACAGUUUUAUUUAGCUAGUAUUAUAGCUCAGUCUUUUGUCUUUGUAGAUAUCAUUGAUUACUGUUGUUGGAUCUUUCUUGAUAUAAAAAAGUCAGUUUCAUCUUAGAGCAAUAUUCUAUUGUCCUCCAUUGCCAUGAUCAUCAUUGAAGAUUGAAUAUAAACAUCUCAAAUAAACACAGUUCUAAAGUUUCACAAUUUUCCAAGACUUCACAAUAAACAUUUUACAAAUUAUACAGUGCACUAUUCAUAAUAAUAAACAAAUUUUAAAUAUGCCUACUUUUUACACCACCCUCAAUGUUUAUUAUCUAGAACUCUGUUUACAAUUUUGUUUUCAUAUUAUUUUUUGUUAUUUCUUCUUUUUU
Molecule: long non-coding RNA, 1028 nt
Filed under: Mytilus galloprovincialis (Mediterranean mussel)
Lineage: Eukaryota; Metazoa; Mollusca; Bivalvia; Mytilida; Mytilidae
Source: RNAcentral